UACAGAGGGGGCAAGCGUUAUUCGGAAUUAUUGGGCGUAAGGCGCGUGUAGGCGGCUUGUUAAGUCGGGUGUGAAAGCCCUCAGCUCAACUGAGGAAGGGCGCCCGAAACUGGCGAGCUUGAGUGUCGGAGAGGAUGGCGGAAUACCCCAAGUAGAGGUGAAAUUCGUAGAUAUGGGGUGGAACACCGGUGGCGAAGGCGGCCAUCUGGACGACAACUGACGCUGAGACGCGAAAGCGUGGGGAGCAAACAGG
Molecule: ribosomal RNA, 253 nt
Filed under: uncultured bacterium
Lineage: Bacteria
Description: partial 16S ribosomal RNA
Rfam family: Bacterial small subunit ribosomal RNA
Source: RNAcentral